GCACCAGUAGUGUGUGGCACACCCACCGACAUAGUUCCUCUCGACGCAGUGCCAUGGUGAGACGGGGUUCGAUUCCCCGCUGGUGCA
This is a non-coding RNA of Mycena polygramma, 87 nucleotides long. The record is from the annotation of a GenBank genome assembly. Lineage: Eukaryota; Fungi; Basidiomycota; Agaricomycetes; Agaricales; Mycenaceae.